RNAcentral lists this long non-coding RNA (9162 nucleotides) under Homo sapiens (human). Its description in RNAcentral is "HSALNT0362882". Lineage: Eukaryota; Metazoa; Chordata; Mammalia; Primates; Hominidae. The record is from RNAcentral.
AGUCGGCGGCGCAGGGGCCGGGCCAGCCGCCGCCACUCCCCCGGCCCCCGGGCCCGGGCCUCCCGCCGCCGCCGCGACCACCGUCCCUGACGCGGCCCCGGAGCCUGGCCCCGCAUCUCCGCGGCCGCCGCCUCCUCCCACCACUGGGGGACCGGCGCCGCCGCCGCCAAGUGCUGCAAUGGCUGCCGGGCCUGGCCCCACCACUCCUCUCAGCUCCGUCGCCGCCAUGAGCCGCCGCCGCCUGGAGAUACAAGACCGGAACCGCCUACGAGAGCCGCCGUCGCCGCCCGGAGCGCCCCACACGGCUACCGCAUCAGCCACCGCCGCGCAGCGUCCCCGCCCCGCCCGGCCAGCCGCGGGGAGGAGGGCUCGGCCGCCGGGAAGAAGGACGUCGAUUGGUGCCGCUGAGUGUCACUUGAGGAAGACCCCGCGGAUAUUGGCAUUUCUCUCGGGCCUGUCAUUCUACAGCGCCCAGUGAGAGCCUGGGGUGGGACGCGUCCGCCAGACCCACCUUUGAUUGGUUCAGAUAAAGGCCAAUCAGACUUUUGGGGAAGCUCAUUGGUGCUUUCCUGAAGUUUCCAGCGCUCAGGGAGGACGGGAGAAUGCGGAAUGCCCGGCCAAUCUGAUCGCCGAUUGGCUGCUGUUUCCGCCAUUCAUUUCAGUUUAUGCGCCUGUCACUGCCACGUCACCCCCUCCCAUCGCUCUUCUCAUCAUCCUUUUCCGCCCUCAUGGAUUGGUGGUUGGUAUCAGCUGCUCCACCUUUUCUACCAUUUACUGAACGAGUUGAGGAAAAAGGGAAGGAGUCUCGUCUUUACAUCCUUAUUUUCUUUUUUUAUUGGUUGGCACCUAUGCCACUCACGUGGUGGAGAGGCGGGGCAAUAGUUGGAGAUGAUUGGUUCUGAGAAUUGGCUGUGAAAGCGGCAUUGCUGACCAGUGAGAGAGACCUAAUGAGGAGCAGGCCGGGGCAACCAAUGAAAUCGGAGAAGAGCGCUUGGGGGCGUGUCCGCCUGCUUUCAGCCUUUGGCAAGUUGGUGGGAGGUGAAAGUGACUUGGCCUCUUAAAAGCGUUUUUUUCACGUGGGUGUGAUGUCGUGUUCCGUUUUUCUGAAUAAGAACUUCGUAGCUUCUUGUUAGGAAGAACCUGGAGGACAGAGUAACUCUCGGCAGUCAGCCCCCGCCUGAGGCUCUCUUGAAGGACCCCCUUCUAACUCGAAGCUGGAUACCCAGAUUCCAGGGGUGCCCAGAAGUAGCUUUUCCAGCCCCUUCCUGGAUCCAUGGUCCCCCUAGUUCCCUUCCCUGUUUGCUCUUUAUCGCUCCACACCCCUUGUGUCUUGAUUCUAGACUGUCAUAUGCCUAUACCGAUUCUGUCCCCUUCAGAAGUAGAUUCGCGAGGACCUGACUUUAUGUGUCUCUUCCAGACCUAAAGGCCCUUGGUUUUAGCAUCAUAGGUGCCAUGUAUAUGCUUAACUUUGAACAGAAAAUUAUUAUUUUUUGUAUCUUUAAACUGAUAUAUCGUAGUUGUACAUAUUUAACUUUGGACAGAAAAUUUUUUUUAUAUCUUUAAACUGAUAUAGUUGUACAUAUUUUCAGGGAUACAUCUGAUAUUGUGAUACAUGUAUUCAAUGUAUAAUUAUCAAAUCAGUGUAAUUGGGAUAUCCAUCAUCUCAAACAUUAUCUUUGUGUUGGGAACAUUUUCUGCUAUGCGUUCUCUUGUAGCAGGAAAUCGUUAUUUUUGAUCAACUGACUAUUCACACAUUUGUGAAGAUUACAAAUUCAGUAACUAAUGUAACAUUUAGAUGUAAGCUAUUGUUGCAAAUGUAACCUAAAGCGCCGUACUUUAGGGAAUCUAGCAUCUGUUACAUUUUGCUAGUUUGAACAGGCAAUAGAAAUAGCUAUUAGAUACUGUAAAAGAAAUUGACUUUCUUUGCCAAUGUGCUUCCCAGUGUCAAUAAAUUAAAGUAUCCUUUUUAAGAAAAUCGUUUCAAAAGAAGCGAAGUAUUUAUUGAAUUCUGGAGAGAGAAUACUCUUUAAAAAUCUGCAAUUUUUACUAUCAGGGAUCAUUUGUAUAGCUCAUUACUAGUGAAUUUCUCUGAAUGUGUAGAGCAAAAUAAAAUCUGCUAUUAGAUGUAGGCUAUUUGGGAUUAAUUUUUUUUUUAACUGAGCUAGAGUUAAUCCAUUUAGGCUUGAGUCCUGCUUUUGCUACUUACUGGGUCUAUUACUUUGAGAAAAUUAUUUAAGCACUCCAAGUCUCAGUUUUCACUUAUGUUAAACAGGAAUAAAACCUCACAGGGAUGCUGUUGUGAUUAAGUGCGUUUGAAUGUGUUUGAUAAACUGUAGAUAGCUACAAACAUGUGAGUUGUGUUGCCAAACACAUCUCACAGGUUACUUGCCAUCACAAAGGAGAAACAUACUUUUACAAUGGGGAGAUCUGGCAGUCCCCACCUUAACCCAGUUAUCCAAUGUGUAUCAGUAACCCUUGGACAACCAACAUUUUUAUGAAGUUCCCAGUGUGCUGCAGCAUAAAGUAUACAGCAUCACUUAAUGGUGUUUUCUUGCCAAAAUACUGAAAGUUAAUCUAAUCAAGGCUUUGGAUCUAAACUCCAGUUUACUGGGCUGGAGGAACCAGUUGAACCAUAACCCCAAGGAGAUAAUCAGAUAAAUCAAGAACGUGAAGCAUUCUAUAAGACAACUAUUUUAUAGAAGAUAAGACAUAAAGAUCAAGGAAAAUCAAUGUCAUAAAAAUGGUCAGGGGUGAUUGUUCUAAAUUUGAAAAAAAACUUAAAGAGAUACAAUCAAAUGCUUAAUUGGAUUCUGGUUCUGAAAAAGCAGGCUUUUAGACAUUUUUGAGACAAUUGGGGAAAUUUGAAAAUGGACUGGUAUCAGAUGUUGUUAGUUAUUACAUUUGUUCAUUGUAAUAAUGGUAUGCUGGACAUGGGGGAAAACAUCUUUACAACUUGGAGAAACGUAGGAGUGAAGAGUUAUGAUAUCCGUAACUCUCUUUGAAAUGGUUCAGCAAAAAAGAAAGAUAAGAGACCAGUCUGGGCAACAUAAAUAAACCUGUCUCUACUAAAAACAAAAGCAAAACAAAACAAAACAAAAAAAUUAGCUGGGCAUGGAGGCCUGUGCCUGUAGUUCCAGCUACUUGGGAGACUGAGGUGGGAGGACUGAUUGAGCCCAGGAGGUCGAGGCUACAGUGAGCUGUGAUUGUGCCACUGCACUCCAGCCUGACAGAGUGAGGCCCUAUCUCUCUCUCACACACACACACACACACACACACACACACACACACACACAGAGCCAAGGAAAGAUAAAUACUUUGAAAUGCAUACAUACACAUCUGUCUGUCUGUCUACCUCCCUACCUACCUACCUAUCAAGCAAAUAUGGCAAAAUCUUAAUUGUUAAAUCUAUGUGGUAAGUAUAUAGGUGUUUACUGUACUAUUAUUUCUACUUUUAUUGUAUAUUUGGAAUAAUAAUUUUAAAAAAGGUUUUGAGAGGCUAGUUUGACCUACUGUUGUUACCUAACACUGCCUCCGGAAUACAGAACAGAAUUCUUGGCCUGGCAAAUGAGACCCAUGACAAUCUGAUGUCACCUCUCCUUUCCAGUCCUUUUUUUUUUUUAAGACAGAAUCUCACUCACCUAGGCUGGAGUACAGUGGCACAAUCUCAAGUGAUUGUCCUGUGUCAGCCUCUGGAGUAGCUGGGAUUACAGGCAUGCACCACCACACCCAGCUAAUUUUUAUAUUUUUAGUAGAGACAGGGUUUCACCAUGUUGGCCAGGCUGGUCUCAAACUCCUGACCUCAGGUGAUCUGCCUGCCUUGGCCUCCCAAAGUGCUGGGAUGACAGAUGUGAGCCACCAAGUGGUGGCUUUGAAAUGCAUACACACACAUCUAUCUGUCUGUCUGUCUCCCUCCCUACCUACCUAUCAAGCAAAUAUGGCAAAAUGUUAAUUGUUAAAUCUAUGUGGUAAGUAUAUAGGCUCACACCUGGCCUCUCUCUUUUGUAUUGGUGUACUCUGUGUUCCAAUUAAAUUGAUCCACACAUUUUUUUCCACAUUCACCCUACACUUUCUCAAACUGAUGCCUUUGUGUAUGCUUUCCCUCCAUUAAAUGCCCAGUGAACUCCCUCCACAGAAUUUCCUCGAAUUUUCCUGGCUAGACGUAAUGCCCCUUCCUCAGGACUUGCAGAGUUUCCUGUGAGGUUAAUUGUCUUGCCUUAUAAUUAUCUAUGUUUCAAUCAUAUCUCCCCUACUAGAGGGUCAAUUUCUCUAAUGUAUAACCUGUAUCUAUUUCAUCUUUGUUUCCCCCAUGACAGCACGCAACCUAGCAUAUUCAUCUAUUUAAUAAAUAUUUAUCAAUUAUCUAUUAUAUAUCUUCAGGCCUGAGCCAAGUCUUAGGGACAAAGUAGUGAAUGUACAAAUAGGCUCUGGCUCCUCAUGAAAUGUAAAGGAUCUUAGGGAUAUACACAGUAUUCGUAGUGAAAAAAUAUGUAGAGUAAUUAUACACAUAUGCACAGUAAUAUGGAGGACAACAGGUGUAACCUGUUUAUUUUUUGUUUGUUUGUUUGUUUGUUUGUUUGAGACAGAGUCUUGUUCUGUUGCCCAGGCUGGAGUGCAGUGGCACGAUCACGGCUCACUGCAAGCUCCACCUCCCGGGUUCACGCCAUUCUCCUGCCUCAGCCUCCCGAGUAGCGGGGACUACAGGCGCCCGCCACCACGCCCGGCUAAUUUUUUGUUUUUGUAUUUUUAGUAGAGAUGGGGUUUCACCGUGUUAGCCAGGAUGGGCUCGAUCUCCUGACCUCAUGAUCCACCCGCCUCGGCCUCCCAAAGUGCUGGGAUUACAGGCUUGAGCCACUGUGCCCGGCCCUAACCUGUUUCAAAGAGGGAUAAACUGUUUAAGUUGCCACCUGGGGACUGGGGAGGAGUAAGCAAAGGAAAUAAAUCAGUCAUUCUUUUUCCUUUCUCUUUUUUUCCUCCAUAGCUAAAAUCAGUCAUCUUCCUGCGAAGGCAUGAGGAGGAAAAGAGAGGAAGUAACUGAGCGAUAAUAUGCUGUAUGAGCCUCCUGCUCUGCUGCCCAUUACCUGCGUCACCUCCACAAGCUACUGAACCUCAAGGAACCCAUCUCCUCAUCAGGAAAAAAAAUAAGCUUUAUGUAGGUAGGCACCUAAUAAUGUUAAAUUAUCUCCUGUCUCUUUAUCAUUUAAAACUUUGGAGGCUCACUCCUGUAAUCCAGCACUUUGGGAGGCCAAGGCAGAAGAAUCCCUUGAGCCAGGGGUUUGAGCCCAGCCUGGGCAAUGUAGCGAGACCUCAUCUCUACUAAAAAUCAAAAAAUUUAGCUGGGCAUGAUGGCACCCGCCUGUAGUAUUCCCAGCUACUUGGGAGGCUGAGGUGGGAGAACUGCUUGAGCCUGGGAGGUAGAGGCUGCAGUGAGCCAUGAUUGUGUCACUGCACUGUAACCUGGGUGACAGAGAAACUCAUCUCAGAAAAAGAAGAAAACCUUCAGGCUGAGUGCAGUGAUUCACACCUGUACUCCCAGCAUUUUGGGGGGCCAAGGUGGGAAGAUCACUUGAGCCUGGGAGUUCAAGACCAGCCUGGGCAACAUAGGGAGAUCCCGACUCUACAAAAAGUAUAAAAAUUACCCAGGUGUGGUGGUGCACACCUGUAGUCCCAGUUACUCGGGAGGCUGAGGUGGAUCACUUGAGCCUGGGAGAUCGAGGCUGCAGUGAGUGGUGAUUGUGCUACUGUGCCACUACACUCCAGCCUGAGUGACACAGGCCCUGUCUUGAAAACAAAACCCCACUUUUUUUUGCCCCUUUCUAUGUGUUUGCUGAAUCUUUUAUCUUGAGCAUUUUAGAGUAAAAAUGAUACUCAAGUCUGAAAUAAUAAAAAUAAAUUCACUAUAAAGAAUGACCAACCUUUUCCCAUCUCCUUUGAAGAGAUGAGUUUUGAAAUACAAUAUGCUCAGAACUAAGUAAAUACUAUCCAUGAAGGCAGCUGAAUGCCUCAUUGGGCUACAUGAGUCUCUUAAAGGGGGACAGAUUCCUCAAUGCCUAGAGAUGGGCAGGAUGGAGAAGACAAACUACAGUUUAUCUACUACAAUUUAUAAUUUUGUCGUACAGUUAAAAUGGGGGGAGGAGAAACUGAAAGCAUCUUAGAUUUUUAAAGACAAGUUAUUAUAUAAAAAUAUUUGUCUUCUUUGCAACAAAAUUAAAAAGGUAAAAAUAUAGGUAAUAAUAUCUUUAAUCCCCUACAUCAAGAAGUUGACAGUCUAUCUAAAUAUGCUAGAAACAUAAAAAUCAUAUUCAGAGGUAACAAAGUAGAAAUGCAGGCACUCAUUUUUAAGUAUACAAUUUGUUUUUAUUUACAAUACCCUAUAAAAAUGUAAAUUUAGAAACUUUUAUUUUCAUUAAUUAGAACCAAUCCAAACAAAAAAGAUAAAGCACAGUAAGGAAGAGAUAAUAAUCAAGUAUUCACUUGAUUGGUUGUGAAGGGAAGGUAGGAAAGGCAUGUAGUGGAAAUGGUCAGUAGACAACGGUAGAGGGAAGCUAGGUAACAUCACUGGGGAACAGCUGGUGGAGCCUGGGGUUACAGCAUGGGAAGAAAUGGAGAUGGAGAACAGGACAGCUGGUUUUAACAGAGGAUCUUACUGUUGUACAAUACAUGUAUGUGCAAAAUGUUUAUUCUCUUUAAAUACCAUAACCUGUCCCUCCCACCCCCCAACUACAUUCGAAAAAGUAAGAACAGCAGAAAGAUCACGAAGGCCAUGUAAAAUUAAUUCAGAUUUAAUUUUCUUCAGGGCUGUAAUCACUAGGGAUCAAAACUCCUUAGUCUGGUUGAUUGCUGAAUGGGAGAGGAGUAAGUGAGAAAGAUCAUGGCAGGCUGGCCCUGCAAUUAUUCAAACCCAGGCCCCUGGCUGCCUGGGAACGGGACUUGGGUGAGAUGAAGUAGUAAAGACAGCAGUUCUGCCCAUGGUGUGGAGACUAAAAAGCAAAGCAGGCCAAACUUAGCUUCCAUGGUUACAUUUGGAAGUUUCUAUUCAUGACACCAAAUAAAAGUGGGGAAGAAGGAAGCAUGGCUUACUGAAGUAGUCUCAGGAAGACAGGGCAAGUGUGCAAAAAGCCACACUGCCAAAGCAGGCUACUAGUGAGGAUCAUCCUGGGUGACUUCGAAUGCACUUGAGGGGAAAGGCUCAAGUACCCUGUAGUUGUAGCAGGAAAAAGACAUAACCAUGUGUUGUUUCGAUUAAGGUGGACAGAAACUAAGGAAAUAAAGGUGGGAAGAAGAAAAAGGACUUCUCAGCCUAGACCUGGGCAUAAGCCAAUUAAGAGUUCUGAUUUUAUUAAACGUGCUGCAUACUCUUUAUUUAUGUUAAAACAAGUAGAACCCACCAAAUUAAUUACAAGAUAGAACAGAAACAGAUUAAAAUACAUCAGCUGGUUUGUGUUUAGAAGAGGUAAUGAGACAACUAAAUAUUUUUCAAUCUAAAAUUCAUUCUUUAAGGACCCUCUGAAGACCACAUAAAUACAUGUAUGGGGUGUGUGUGUGUGUAUCUAUGUGUGUGUGUAUAUCUUGAUUUCUACUUAAUUGGCUCUUCUAUAGUCAUAUUAAUAUGGGGCAAUGAAAAAACAACUUCAAUAGGAUGAGGGAAGGAAUCCUUUGGCAGGCUACAAUCUACUCUGAGGUGGAGUAGUGGAGGGAUAAAGGGAGAGAUUACACUUGUGUCUCUAGGGCAAAGAAAAUGCAAAACAGAACUGAGUAAAAGUAGGACAUGCAGAACUGUAACACAGAAGGUAAAGAAACCAGCAGAAGUAUCACCCAGCCAAAUUUCAUAGAGCAGUGGGGAAAUAUCUGACAUUUAGAGAGACAACCCCUGUAAACAGGAAUCGAUCCCACAAGACUUUGCUUUGGGGAAAAAGCUACCUUCCUUCCCUCAUUAAAAACACUCCAUUGGUGAUGGCAGCAGUGCAGGUGGCAGCCAAAAGGAGGUACAGGACACAUUUGGAGAUCUUUUAUCGUAUCCCCUGAACUAGCCUAGGAGUACAAAGGAGAGAAAGGAAAAUUGUAUAAAUGAGUUAAAACAGAAGGCAAUCUUUCAUAUUACAGUUACAUCUUUGUAAGACUUCUCAUAACAAAAUACCCGAGAUUAUUUCUCUACCCUUAGCAUUUGGUCAUCUUUUAUGAAGGCCCUGUUGUACCCAGUUCAGUGUUUUAUAUCUAACAGAUACACAAAUAGUUAAUAAAAAGUCAAUCUCUUCCACCAAAUUCAGUUUUAUUCCCCCCUCCACCCCAAUCAUAACUUCUUUUUAUUUAUUUUUUUUGAGACAGGGUCUUGCUCUGUCACCCAGGCUGGAGUGCAGUGGCGUGAUCUCAGCUCACUGCAAUCUCUGUCUCCCGGGUUUAAAUGAUUUUCAUACCUCAGCCUACCGAAUAGCUGGGAUUACAGGCAUGCACCACCGCACUUGGCUAAUUUUCGUAUUUUUUUAGUAGAGACAGGGUUUCACCAUUUUGGUCAGGCUGGUCUGGAACUCCUGGCCUCAAGUGAUCCACCCUCCUGGGUGUCCUAAAAUGCUGGGAUUACAGGUGUGAGCCACCGUACCCAGCCUCCCAACCAUAACUUCUAAAGUCCCAACUUUAGUGAGAUGUGAAACUCUCCUGUUUCAAACUUACUGCAGUUUUGUCUCCAGCAAGUUCAGUUUCUGCCGGUCAACAUAGCGAGAAAAGAGGGACACUAGGUUUGUAGGUAUAGAGAUUGGCUUGGCCAGGGCUGCUUGGGGAAUCCGCAGAAGUUCUCGUGUUGCCAUGAACAUCACCUCCGUCCUGACAGGGAAGACCCAUAAUAAUAUCAGGAGAAAAAAAUUUAAAAGAUUACCUCAAAGAACUUAAAAUAAGAGAAGAAACAGUCCACACUGACCACUGAUUAUUUUGUGUUGAUUCUGUAGCAGGGUCUGAACUCUGUAGGUCUUCACCACGGCUCAGGAGGAUGAGGAGCAGUGACAGGCCAAACUACGAGAAAAGACAGAGGGAAUCAAACUCAACACUGUGUCUAAACCUCCUCCACCACUGUUGAAGGGAUCCUGGCAUCAGAUGGGGAACAGCUCUAAAUCAAAAUAACCUCACUACUGUGCUUUUCUGUAAAACCAGGUAAAGAUCAGACAAGCAUGAGUU